AGGGCGGCUUGGUACAAGGACGACUGGCUUGCAGGGCUGCGUACCGGCUUCAGGAUUUUGGCACCUACCAUGUACAUAUUCUUUGCAUCUGCCCUGCCGGUCAUCGCCUUCGGAGAGCAACUAAGCCAUGAAACAAAUGGAAUGCUCAGCACAGUCGAAACAUUAGCAUCUACGGCGAUAUGUGGCAUCAUACAUUCGAUACUCGGAGGACAGCCAAUGAUGAUAGUUGGAGUUGCAGAACCUACCGUUAUCAUGUAUACGUAUCUCUACAACUUUGCCAAGAAGCAGCAACGUAUUGGAGAAGCGCUAUAUUUAGCGUGGGCUGGAUGGGUCUGCAUAUGGACUGCAAUUAUGCUCUUUCUUCUAGCGACUUUCAAUGCUUCAAAUGUUAUAAGCAAAUUUACAAGGGUUGCAGGAGAACUUUUUGGGAUGUUGAUCACUGUUCUCUUCCUACAAGAAGCUAUCAAGGGAAUUGUGAGAGAAUUCGGUCCUCCUAAAGGUGUUGACGAUGGUUCACCAAUACACCAGUUCCAAUGGAUGUAUCUCAAUGGUCUACUUGGUGUUAUCUUUUCAACUGGCUUACUAUACACUGCACUAAGAACUAGGCGCGCAAGAUCAUGGCUGUACGGCCUAGGCUGGCUGAGAAGCUUCAUCGCCGAUUAUGGUGUGCCGCUAAUGGUGAUUGUGUGGACCGCAUUGUCCUACGCACUACCAAGCAAAGUUCCUUCAGGAGUCCCUAGGAGGCUAUUCAGUCCUCUUCCCUGGGAGUCAAGCUCACUACAGCAUUGGACCGUAGCAAAGGAUUUAUUCUCCGUCCCUCCAGCCUUUAUAUUUGCGGCAAUUCUGCCUGCAUUGAUGGUUGCCGGACUCUAUUUCUUUGAUCAUAGUGUAGCUUCACAGCUAGCUCAGCAAAAGGAGUAUAAUCUGAAGAAACCAUCUGCCUACCAUUAUGACAUUCUAGUCCUUGGAUUGACGGUCCUGCUUUGUGGUUUAAUCGGCAUCCCUCCAUCAAAUGGAGUACUUCCACAGUCCCCCAUGCACACGAGAAGCCUUGCCGUCCUUCGGGGGCAGUUCCUUCGCAAAAAAAUGGUUCAAACUGCCAAGGAGAGUGUGGUGAAUCGUGCUAACAGGAUGGAAAUAUAUGGAAAGUUGCAUGAGGUCUUCGUUGAAAUGGACAAUGAACAGAAUACGGGUUCCGUUGACAUGGAAUUGAAGAGCUUGAAGGAGGCAGUGCUGCGAGAAAACGGUGAAGAUGGGAAGCCAGCCGGAGAAUUUGACCCUCGGAAACAUAUCGAGCCCCAUUUGCCCGUUCGAGUGAACGAGCAGCGGCUAAGUAACCUGUUGCAGUCAUUAAUGGUUGGUGGUUGCGUUGCAGCUAUGCCGGUUAUCAGGAUGAUACCGACAUCGGUGUUGUGGGGUUACUUUGCAUACAUGGCCAUAGACAGCCUACCAGGGAACCAGUUCUGGGAAAGGAUACAACUUAUCUUCAUCUCAUCAAGCCGACGCUACAAGGUUCUUGAAGGUCCCCAUGCAUCUUUUGUUGAGUCAGUGCCUUCGAGAACAACAUCAGCCUUCACGAUCUUCCAAUUUGUGUAUCUACUGAUCUGCUUCGGCAUAACGUGGAUACCAAUAGCAGGGAUCUUGUUCCCGUUGCCUUUCUUCCUCAUGAUAGCCAUCCGGCAGCACCUGCUACCAAAGUUCUUCGAGCCGAGUGACCUACGGGAACUCGACACGGCUGAGUACGAAGAGCUUGAAGGUUUCCACCAGGAAGGGGAAGCUGGUUCCAACUUAGGGAGCUGCCGCAGCAGCAUUGACGCGGAGAUGUUGGAUGAACUCACAACAAACCGUGGUGAGCUCAAGCACCGGACUGUCAGCAACCGUGAAGAGAGGCACAUCCAGGUGCAUUCGAAUGCAAUUCAGCCAAGCGUGUGA
Molecule: ribosomal RNA, 1932 nt
Filed under: Triticum aestivum (bread wheat)
Lineage: Eukaryota; Viridiplantae; Streptophyta; Magnoliopsida; Poales; Poaceae
Description: partial small subunit ribosomal RNA
Source: RNAcentral